Molecule: ribosomal RNA, 2858 nt
Filed under: Faucicola osloensis
Lineage: Bacteria; Pseudomonadati; Pseudomonadota; Gammaproteobacteria; Moraxellales; Moraxellaceae
Description: Moraxella osloensis 23S ribosomal RNA
Rfam family: Bacterial large subunit ribosomal RNA
Source: RNAcentral
AGUCAAGUAAUGAAGUGCACAUGGUGGAUGCCUUGGCAGUCAGAGGCGAUGAAAGACGUGACAGCCUGCGAAAAGCGUCGGGGAGGCGGCAAUAUCCUGUGAUCCGGCGAUAUCUGAAUGGGGAAACCCACUUGUCAUAAGACAGGUAUCGUAAAUUUAUUUACGAGGCAAACCGGGAGAAGUGAAACAUCUCAGUAACCCGAGGAAAAGACAUCAAUAGAGAUUCCCCUAGUAGCGGCGAGCGAACGGGGAGGAGCCGACUGAUUAUAAUUUAGAGGAAUGACUUGGAAAGGUCAAUCGUAGAGGGUGAUAAUCCCGUACUCGAAAGGUUAUAAGAAGCAUAUUAAGUAGGGCGGAACACGAGAAAUUCUGUCUGAAGAUGGGGGACCAUCCUCCAAGGCUAAAUACUCCUGACUGACCGAUAGUGAACCAGUACCGUGAGGGAAAGGCGAAAAGAACCCCUGUGAGGGGAGUGAAAUAGAACCUGAAACCGUGUGCAUACAAGCAGUCGGAGCGGACAUGUUCCGUGACGGCGUACCUUUUGUAUAAUGGGUCAGCGACUUAUAUUCUGUAGCAAGGUUAACCGAAUAGGGGAGCCGUAGGGAAACCGAGUCUUAAUAGGGCGUCUAGUUGCAGGGUAUAGACCCGAAACCGAGUGAUCUAUCCAUGAGCAGGUUGAAAGUGACGUAACAGUUACCGGAGGACCGAACCCACUGUCGUUGAAAAGCCAGGGGAUGACUUGUGGAUAGGGGUGAAAGGCUAAUCAAACUCGGUGAUAGCUGGUUCUCCCCGAAAGCUAUUUAGGUAGCGCCUCGGACGAACACCAUUGGGGGUAGAGCACUGUUUCGGCUAGGGGGUCAUCCCGACUUACCAAACCGAUGCAAACUCCGAAUACCGAUGAGUGAUAUCCGGGAGACAGACGGCGGGUGCUAACGUCCGUCGUCAAGAGGGAAACAACCCAGACCGCCAGCUAAGGCCCCAAAUUCCUAGUUAAGUGGGAAACGAUGUGGGAAGGCACAGACAGCUAGGAGGUUGGCUUAGAAGCAGCCAUCCUUUAAAGAAAGCGUAAUAGCUCACUAGUCGAGUCGGCCUGCGCGGAAGAUGUAACGGGGCUCAAACUAGGAGCCGAAGCUGCGGAUUUAAUUGUUUCAAUUAAGUGGUAGGGGAGCAUUGUGUAAGCCUGUGAAGGUGUGUUGUAAAGCAUGCUGGAGGUAUCACAAGAGCGAAUGCUGACGUGAGUAACGACAAAACGGGUGAAAAGCCCGUUCGCCGGAAGACCAAGGGUUCCAGUCCAACGUUAAUCGGGGCUGGGUGAGUCGACCCCUAAGGCGAGGCCGAAAGGCGUAGUCGAUGGGAAAUCGGUUAAUAUUCCGAUACUUGUUUAUGAUGCGAUGGAGGGACGGAGAAGGUUAUGCCAGCUUGGCGAUGGUUGUCCAAGUGGAAGGAUGUAGUUAGGUUUAGUAGGCAAAUCCGCUAGACUAUUAAUGAGAUCUGAUAGCAAGCUGUACUUGUACAGCGAAGUGGCAAAUACCCUGCUUCCAGGAAAAGCUUCUAAGCGAUAGUCAUAAAGAAAUCGUACCCUAAACCGACACAGGUGGUCAGGUAGAGAAUACCAAGGCGCUUGAGAGAACUCUGCUGAAGGAACUAGGCAAAAUGGUACCGUAACUUCGGGAGAAGGUACGCUGCCGAUGGUGAGUAGACAUGCUCUACAAAGCUAUUGGCAGUCGCAGAUACCAGGCCGCUGCAACUGUUUAUUAAAAACACAGCACUCUGCAAACACGAAAGUGGACGUAUAGGGUGUGAUGCCUGCCCGGUGCUGGAAGGUUAAUUGAUGGGGUUAGCGUAAGCGAAGCUCUUGAUCGAAGCCCCAGUAAACGGCGGCCGUAACUAUAACGGUCCUAAGGUAGCGAAAUUCCUUGUCGGGUAAGUUCCGACCUGCACGAAUGGCAUAAUGAUGGCGGCGCUGUCUCCAGCAGAGACUCAGUGAAAUCGAAAUCGCAGUGAAGAUGCUGUGUACCCGCGGCUAGACGGAAAGACCCCGUGAACCUUUACUACAGCUUUACAUUGAACUUUGACCUUACCUGUGUAGGAUAGGUGGGAGGCUUUGAAGCAGGCACGCCAGUGUCUGUGGAGCCAUCCUUGAAAUACCACCCUGGUAAUGUUGGGGUUCUAACUCAAGCUUAACAGAGCUGAGGACAAUGUAUGGUGGGUAGUUUGACUGGGGCGGUCUCCUCCUAAAGAGUAACGGAGGAGUACGAAGGUGCGCUCAGAACGGUCGGAAAUCGUUCGAAGAGUAUAAAGGCAAAAGCGCGCUUAACUGCGAGACCCACAAGUCGAGCAGAUACGAAAGUAGGUCUUAGUGAUCCGGUGGUUCUGUAUGGAAGGGCCAUCGCUCAACGGAUAAAAGGUACUCUGGGGAUAACAGGCUGAUACCGCCCAAGAGUUCAUAUCGACGGCGGUGUUUGGCACCUCGAUGUCGGCUCAUCUCAUCCUGGGGCUGAAGCAGGUCCCAAGGGUAUGGCUGUUCGCCAUUUAAAGAGGUACGCGAGCUGGGUUUAGAACGUCGUGAGACAGUUCGGUCCCUAUCUACCGUGGGCGUUGGAAAUUUGAGAGGAUCUGCUCCUAGUACGAGAGGACCAGAGUGGACGAACCUCUGGUGUUUCGGUUGUGACGCCAGUCGCAUUGCCGAGUAGCUAUGUUCGGAUGGGAUAACCGCUGAAAGCAUCUAAGCGGGAAGCCCACCUUAAGAUUAGAUUUCCCUAAAGAGCCGUUGUAGACUACGACGUUGAUAGGUUGGGUGUGGAAGCAUAGUGAUAUGUGUAGCUAACCAAUACUAAUUGCUCGUUUGGCUUGACUAU